CCCAUUACUAACUAACUAUUGGCGGUAACAAAAUAAUGGGUCGAGCGAAACUGAAAAGUCUUAAAUGUUUUAUUUUCUUUCUCUGUCGGUGUCUCUCAGUCAACUCUUCUUCCUCGAUGUUCAUCAUGAUUCAAGUUUGUUUGGAAGAUCCUUAUUCGAAAUCCAGACCGAAAGAGGAGAUUUUGUGUUUAUCAAAACAAUUCACUCUAUUCUAAGAGCCAAAUCGAUAUACUCGAAAUAAAGAUCGACCAUCACCUGAGGAUAUUUCAAUGGCUUUGGUUGAAAAUUAGUUUUUGUAGACAUGUGGAUGGUAAGGAGAUUCCCUUCAAACCUGCUCGGCUGAUUCUACAGGUAACCGCAGUUUAAGGGAUGAGCAAUCUCAUUGAGAAGUCAGCUUGUGUACGAUUGUAAUGUCAUCUUUCUGGGACUAUUUUCAGGGCUCAACUGGUGUCCCUGCAGUUGUGUAAAUAGUUUGCAUGAUAGUAGCCACGGAUAAUGUCAAUGUUGAUUCUACUGCGUUCAAUCCCUUGGUUAGUGAACUUCAAGCUAUUUAAAUUGGGGAUCUGUUUUGUUUCAUGUAUGUAAACACAUGAAGCUAAUGUUUAUUUUUUAGAAUGCUCCUCAGAUGAUAGUAAGGAGAUUACAAUCCGAGAUGUUACAAAAUCUUUUAUAACAUGUCAAUUUGGCAGUUUCAACAAGUUUUGAUGAUAUGUAUGUUCAACUCACGAACUCCAUGUC
Molecule: long non-coding RNA, 738 nt
Organism: Brassica napus (rape)
Lineage: Eukaryota; Viridiplantae; Streptophyta; Magnoliopsida; Brassicales; Brassicaceae
Exons: 3
Source: RefSeq, a predicted model, not a curated record